AAUUCGAUGGUUUGUUUCUUUCUCUCCGCCCCAUUCCCUCACGGGUGGUGGGGUGGACAUUAGGCAAGGCUUGUGUUCCCGGCAUGCCUCGCUUAGUUGCGUGGUGGCCUUGGCCCAUGAGAUUCUUUGCCCGUGCUCUCGGAUGUAGAAUGUUAUGUGUUGCUGGUGGGUGGUCUCUACGAGGCCUCCAUCUAAUAAAGUGAUGCAUUUCGUCCAACGACCCGAACGACUGUUGCGCUCGUUUUUGAGCUCGCAGCCUCAGCUUGGCGGGGUUCAUG
RNAcentral lists this unclassified non-coding RNA (278 nucleotides) under Santiria griffithii. RNAcentral describes it as "partial external transcribed spacer". The record is from RNAcentral. Lineage: Eukaryota; Viridiplantae; Streptophyta; Magnoliopsida; Sapindales; Burseraceae.